Molecule: ribosomal RNA, 401 nt
Filed under: uncultured bacterium
Lineage: Bacteria
Description: partial 16S ribosomal RNA
Rfam family: Archaeal small subunit ribosomal RNA
Source: RNAcentral
ACACCGGCAGCUCUAGUGGUAACAAUUUUUAUUGGGCCUAAAGCGUCCGUAGCCGGUUUAAUAAGUCUCUGGUGAAAUCCUGUAGCUUAACUGUGGGAAUUGCUGGAGAUACUAUUAGACUUGAGACCGGGAGAGGUUAGAGGUACUCCCAGGGUAGAGGUGAAAUUCUGUAAUCCUGGGAGGACCGCCUGUUGCGAAGGCGUCUAACUGGAACGGUUCUGACGGUGAGGGACGAAAGUUAGGGGCGCGAACCGGAUUAGAUACCCGGGUAGUCCUAACUGUAAACGAUGCGGACUUGGUGUUGGGGUGGCUUUGAGCUGCUCCAGUGCCGAAGGGAAGCUGUUAAGUCCACCGCCUGGGAAGUACGGUCGCAAGACUGAAACUCAAAUGAAUUGGCGGGG